Vespa mandarinia (Asian giant hornet) is the source of this 829-nucleotide long non-coding RNA. The record is from RefSeq and is a predicted model, not a curated record. NCBI's taxonomy places the organism in Eukaryota, Metazoa, Arthropoda, Insecta, Hymenoptera, Vespidae.
AUGUAUUAUCCUAUAUGUGUAUAUUGCGUCGUGUGAGAAGCAACUACGAGAGCUUUUCUAAAUACGCGUCUCUAAUAGAGAUUAGACGAGCGAUAAUAACUGAUUUAUACGGAGAAUCUUUCCCCGACCUUCCUAAUCGUCAGAGUUAUAGAUUAACUGGACGCUAUGAAUAAGAGUCAGCACAAGGCUAGGAUACCAUCGGAGUUUAUUAAUGCAAAUUAAUGGGAGAACGCGCAUUCUUUUAUAGGAUCCCGUGCAGCUUGUAAGAAUGUGCUGGAUAGCCCCGAUUGAGGCAUAGCCAGUGAUAUUGAUAAGACUCGAUUAUUUUACUGCUAAGUGAAAAUGCUUUGUUGCGAUUGACUGUAGAUUUCUCCCGAACUAUCCACGAACGUAUUAAUGAAUUAGGAAAGGAAAAUGGAAAGAAAAGAGUUUAAGUAAAAAAUGUUAGGAAAAUGAAAGCAGCAUCCUUAUUGAUAGUGAGCGUGCUAAGAUAGUUUAUUCGAAAUGUUUAAACAGUCUCAUGUAUGAUACUUUGUCUUGGUGACUGUGUGGACUCAUGAGAGUUGCAUUGAUAUUUGAAGGAUAAGCGCCAGACAAACCCUUGGCUCGUCACACCUAAGAGUCUACUUUCACAGUUUAUUUAUUGCCCAUUUCGGCAUAUUAUUGAAGACUAGCAAGUAUCCAAGGAGUUCCCAAAAGCAGAUAUUUCGAAUAGUAAUAUAUAUAUGACUCUUAGGAGAAAGAACUGUGAAUAACUGAGGGACACACGUGUACGUCACAGUAUAUGAUACAUAUAUACAUAGAUAUAUAUAAUAGAAAGAUAUAUUUU